Molecule: non-coding RNA, 688 nt
Organism: Coffea arabica (coffee)
Lineage: Eukaryota; Viridiplantae; Streptophyta; Magnoliopsida; Gentianales; Rubiaceae
Source: RefSeq, a predicted model, not a curated record
UUGGGAAUUUUCCUGCAUGAAAAGAUAAUCAUCAAAUAUAAUUAUGACCCAAACCCAUUAUAAUGCCAUAGGGUUUUGGGUUCUCGAGCUUCUCUGAUGGCCUAAACAGGUACAACAAUAGCAAGAGCUUCAACGCUUUGAUCUCUCAAGCGAAAUGCGUGACCAAUUAUGUCAUAAUGAAACAUCAAUAUUGAAGCCACAUCAAUAAUCUGCAAAUACGCCCUCAAAUCAUCUAUAACCACUAGGGGUCCAGCAGAAUACUACCCGGAAGAAGAAGAAGAAGAUUCAUGAAGAGAAUCUUGGAGAGGUCAGGGUUGGGGGAGACGACGUAUUUCCCAUAAGCUUUUUCCAAUUAUCCACCAGAUCCCGGCAUGGCUAAGCAAAAUUGGAUGAAAGGGUUAAAAAGAAGCACCCAGAAUGAAAGAAAAUCUUGUGUACGUCGACCGUACUAAGCAUUAAAAGUUGAUCGGAAUCACUUUUCACGUGUUCCUUCUGGAAUUUGUUUACCUAUUGUCUUUGCCAGCUAGAAGUCAGUUCUGGCCGGAGGAGUGGGGACUGGGGGGAAGAUUCCCGAAGAGGGAGUGUGUGGCAGAGGAUGAAGCGAUCUUAGAAUUGUCAGUUGUAAUUGCACCGAACUCUGCAGUGGAAGCUACUGCUAGAACAAAUAUAGACAUUACACUUAUAGAUA